Molecule: ribosomal RNA, 598 nt
Filed under: Haemophilus influenzae
Lineage: Bacteria; Pseudomonadati; Pseudomonadota; Gammaproteobacteria; Pasteurellales; Pasteurellaceae
Description: bacterial SSU rRNA
Rfam family: Bacterial small subunit ribosomal RNA
Source: RNAcentral
CUGACGAGUGGCGGACGGGUGAGUAAUGCUUGGGAAUCUGGCUUAUGGAGGGGGAUAACGACGGGAAACUGUCGCUAAUACCGCGUAAUAUCGAAAGAUUAAAGUGUGGGACCUUCGGGCCACAUGCCAUAGGAUGAGCCCAAGUGGGAUUAGGUAGUUGGUGGGGUAAAGGCCUACCAAGCCUGCGAUCUCUAGCUGGUCUGAGAGGAUGACCAGCCACACUGGAACUGAGACACGGUCCAGACUCCUACGGGAGGCAGCAGUGGGGAAUAUUGCGCAAUGGGGGGAACCCUGACGCAGCCAUGCCGCGUGAAUGAAGAAGGCCUUAGGGUUGUAAAGUUCUUUCGGUAUUGAGGAAGGUUGAUGUGUUAAUAGCACAUCAAAUUGACGUUAAAUACAGAAGAAGCACCGGCUAACUCCGUGCCAGCAGCCGCGGUAAUACGGAGGGUGCGAGCGUUAAUCGGAAUAACUGGGCGUAAAGGGCACGCAGGCGGUUAUUUAAGUGAGGUGUGAAAGCCCCGGGCUUAACCUGGGAAUUGCAUUUCAGACUGGGUAACUAGAGUACUUUAGGGAGGGGUAGAAUUCCACGUGUAGCGGU